RNAcentral lists this ribosomal RNA (217 nucleotides) under uncultured Prevotella sp. RNAcentral's name for it is "partial 16S ribosomal RNA". It matches the Rfam family "Bacterial small subunit ribosomal RNA", at positions 139 to 355 of the family's 1533-position model. Lineage: Bacteria; Pseudomonadati; Bacteroidota; Bacteroidia; Bacteroidales; Prevotellaceae. The record is from RNAcentral.
UGGGAUAACCUGCCGAAAGGCAGACUAAUACCGCAUAGUCUUCGAUGACGGCAUCAGAUUUGAAGUAAAGAUUUAUCGGUAAUGGAUGGGGAUGCGUCUGAUUAGCUUGUUGGCGGGGUAACGGCCCACCAAGGCGACGAUCAGUAGGGGUUCUGAGAGGAAGGUCCCCCACAUUGGAACUGAGACACGGUCCAAACUCCUACGGGAGGCAGCAGCC